CGCGCAGGCGGUCGAAUAAGUCGAAUGUGAAAGCCCCCGGCUCAACUGGGGAGGGUCAUUCGAUACUGUUCGACUUGAAGGUAGGAGAGAGAAGCAGAAUUCCCGGUGUAGUGGUGAAAUGCGUAGAUAUCGGGAGGAAUACCAGUGGCGAAGGCGGCUUCUUGGCCUAUUCUUGACGCUGAGGCGCGAAAGCUGGGGGGAGCAAACGG
RNAcentral lists this ribosomal RNA (209 nucleotides) under uncultured bacterium. Its description in RNAcentral is "partial 16S ribosomal RNA". It matches the Rfam family "Bacterial small subunit ribosomal RNA", at positions 568 to 775 of the family's 1533-position model. The record is from RNAcentral.